Molecule: ribosomal RNA, 331 nt
Filed under: uncultured eukaryote
Lineage: Eukaryota
Description: partial 18S ribosomal RNA
Rfam family: Eukaryotic small subunit ribosomal RNA
Source: RNAcentral
CCCUUAGAUGUUCUGGGCCGCACGCGCGCUACACUGACGAAGUCAGCGAGCAUGUCCUACGCCGACAGGUGCGGGGAAUCUUGUCAAACUUCGUCGUGAUGGGGAUUGAUUAUUGAAAUUCUUGAUCAUCAACGAGGAAUUCCUAGUAAGCGCAAGUCAGCAGCUUGCGUUGAUUACGUCCCUGCCCUUUGUACACACCGCCCGUCGCUACUACCGAUUGAAUGGUUUAGUGAGAUCUUCGGAAUGGCGCCACUGCGGCUCAGCAAUGGGCUCGGUGGAUGCCGAAAAGUUGAUCAAACUUGAUCAUUUAGAGGAAGUAAAAGUCGUAACA